AUUGAACGCUGGCGGAAUGCUUUACAUAUGCAAGUCGAACGGCAGCACGGGGGCAACCUUGGUGGCGAGUGGCAAACGGGUGAGUAACACAUCGGAACAUGCCCAGUCGUGGGGGAUGACGUAGCGAAAGUUACGCUACUACCGCAUACGAUCUAAGGAUGAAAGCUGGGGACCGUAAGGCCUCGCGCGAUUGGAGUGGCCGAUGCCAGAUUAGGUAGUUGGUGGGGUAAAGGCUCACCAAGCCAACGUUCUGUAGCUGGUCUGAGAGGACGACCAGCCACACUGGGACUGAGACACGGCCCAGACUCCUACGGGAGGCAGCAGUGGGGAAUUUUGGACAAUGGGCGCAAGCCUGAUCCAGCCAUUCCGCGUGCAGGACGAAGGCCUUCGGGUUGUAAACUGCUUUUGUACGGAGCGAAAAGCCUUGGGUUAAUACCUCGGGGUCAUGACGGUACCGUAAGAAUAAGCACCGGCUAACUACGUGCCAGCAGCCGCCGUAA
This 500-nucleotide ribosomal RNA is filed under the name uncultured bacterium. RNAcentral describes it as "partial 16S ribosomal RNA". It matches the Rfam family "Bacterial small subunit ribosomal RNA", at positions 30 to 523 of the family's 1533-position model. The record is from RNAcentral.